This 705-nucleotide ribosomal RNA is filed under the name Staphylococcus aureus. Its description in RNAcentral is "partial 23S ribosomal RNA". It matches the Rfam family "Bacterial large subunit ribosomal RNA", at positions 1509 to 2211 of the family's 2925-position model. The record is from RNAcentral. Lineage: Bacteria; Bacillati; Bacillota; Bacilli; Caryophanales; Staphylococcaceae.
CGUCUAAGCAGUAAGGCUGAGUAUUAGGCAAAUCCGGUACUCGUUAAGGCUGAGCUGUGAUGGGGAGAAGACAUUGUGUCUUCGAGUCGUUGAUUUCACACUGCCGAGAAAAGCCUCUAGAUAGAAAAUAGGUGCCCGUACCGCAAACCGACACAGGUAGUCAAGAUGAGAAUUCUAAGGUGAGCGAGCGAACUCUCGUUAAGGAACUCGGCAAAAUGACCCCGUAACUUCGGGAGAAGGGGUGCUCUUUAGGGUUAACGCCCAGAAGAGCCGCAGUGAAUAGGCCCAAGCGACUGUUUAUCAAAAACACAGGUCUCUGCUAAACCGUAAGGUGAUGUAUAGGGGCUGACGCCUGCCCGGUGCUGGAAGGUUAAGAGGAGUGGUUAGCUUCUGCGAAGCUACGAAUCGAAGCCCCAGUAAACGGCGGCCGUAACUAUAACGGUCCUAAGGUAGCGAAAUUCCUUGUCGGGUAAGUUCCGACCCGCACGAAAGGCGUAACGAUUUGGGCACUGUCUCAACGAGAGACUCGGUGAAAUCAUAGUACCUGUGAAGAUGCAGGUUACCCGCGACAGGACGGAAAGACCCCGUGGAGCUUUACUGUAGCCUGAUAUUGAAAUUCGGCACAGCUUGUACAGGAUAGGUAGGAGCCUUUGAAACGUGAGCGCUAGCUUACGUGGAGGCGCUGGUGGGAUACUACCCUAGCUG